RNAcentral lists this long non-coding RNA (3026 nucleotides) under Nicotiana benthamiana. RNAcentral's name for it is "long non-coding RNA (NBEN_LNC026398)". Lineage: Eukaryota; Viridiplantae; Streptophyta; Magnoliopsida; Solanales; Solanaceae. The record is from RNAcentral.
AUCUUAUUAAAUCUUAACAAACAAAAAGAAGUACUGCUUUACUUGGUCUACUCUUUAGCAAAGUCUUUAGUUUUAUAUUUUCGUGUAUACUCAUCUUUUAUAUCGCAUUUGUUUCCUAGUAACUUUAAGAUCCACGCUUCUCCACUUUUGGGUAUAGAGAACUUCUUCUGGAAAAAAUAAAAGUCAACAUUUAGAAGAUAACAUCAUGUAUAAAAGAUUGACCAUGUUCACAUAAUAACAAUAACAAUAAUAAUAAUAAUAAUAAUAAUAAUAAUAAUAAUAAUAAUAAUAAUAACUUCAUACUCUCACAAGAUCCACCAAUUUCUUCUUCUCUUUAUUGUCAAAAUUUUUCCAAAUAUCUACAUAUAGAUGUGUUAGUUUUUGAGUUCUUGCAAUAAUUUUUAGAAAGCUAGCAAGUUUUUGGCCCUUUUUUCCAAUAGUUUGGUUACGAUUAUCAAACGACGCAUUAAUUAUCUUUUCCGACGAAAAUUUCCAAAUAUCUUUUAGCAAAGUAGGUCCAUGAACUUUUUUUGCUCCUAUAUUACCUAGAAUUGAAAAGAUUUGAAUCAUAUGAUAUAAUUAGAAAAAAAGGCAGCAGUCAACUGAAUCAAUUCAAUCAAUUGCCCGCCAAUUUAACAACAUCCAAAGAUCACAAAUCACAAUAUAGCUAGCACAAAAAAAAUUAUCUCUAGAAAUCACAAUAUAGCUAGCACAAAAAAAAACUAUCUCUAGAAAUCACAAACUGCCGUAGUUGUACAUCACAAAUCACAAGUCGGCUUAGGCUCAAGUGUUUGGGUACCUGGUAACCAGAGUACUUUGACGAUGAAGAUAAGAAAGUGAAGGAGAAGAAUAAUGUCAGUAACAAUUUCGAAACCUACAUAAAAAGAUAAGACUGAGAGUUAAACAACAUUGAUACCUCAAUAACUUUUUAAAGCAACAGUAAAGAAACUUAGAUAUUUAACUGGUUUCCUCCUUGUAUGCUUAAAUCUUUACCUCAUAAAAAAAAAAGAUAUGCUCAAAUUGAUUAUCUACAAGCCUUUCCUUCAAAUGGUAAAGCUAAAAUCAAAAUAUUACUUUAACAAUGCAGUAUUUUUCUAUUCGAACAUAGCUAAAUUUAAAGGCAGGAUCACUGUACAGAAAUAUAAGAAAUCUUAGCAAUAUAUCUCAUAGAAGUUUCUAACUUAUAAUUAACUAAAUCUAAAAGUUCAAGCAAUUACAAUCCCAGUUUCUCAGCACAAAAAUGCUAAGAGCUAUAUAAGAAGCACAUCAGAUGUGCUAAAGUUUAGGUUAAACUUUAAAGUGAAUAAGCAUAUGAAAACUUCGCACAUCAAACAGACGACAGAGACUAUCAAGAACAGAAAAAAUUUUCGGAUACGUGUCCCUAAUCCAUAUCAAGCACUCACUCGGAUGAUUUCAACAAAUCGAAAAGAAACCAAACUAUAUAUGUGAAAAGACAACUGUUUUAAUUGAGUUUAAAUAAACUUUUGAACUCAAUUCAACAGAACAUGAACAUCAAACAUAAUAGUUUUCUUAUUAAUCUAAUAAGAAAUAACAAUCCUAAGAACAACUUAAUAAUACAAGAGUGAAAAUAUUUGCCUGAUCAAUUUAAAUCAAGAAUUAAACAACAUAAGCAACACAAAUUUUUUUAUAUCAUUAUGAUGCUGGAGUUUUAUAAUUUAUAUCUACCGCGAGCUCACAUCAAUUUUCUUAAAUAGUUAAUUAGGUAAUCUCAGGGGCAAAAUAUUCACCUAACCAAAUACUAAAAAAAUGGUCUUCUCCAAAAAUAUAACUACACCAAGAAAUUACCUUAAAUACUCAAUAAAUCAUCUUCUUAAUACAUAAAUCCAUUGCACACGAGUUUAAGAAAUAUCAUCAGAAAUUAUCCAAGAAACACUUCUCAAAACUUGAAUUACAUCAACUUUAUCAUUUGAACCAGAGAAGAAGGAAUACCAAAAAAGAUGCGCAAGUAGUAUUAGUUUUAUCACAGUCAAUAUAGGUGGGUAUCCUUAGGUUUAUAAAAUCUCAAAAGCUCACAUGAUUUUUUUAAUAUUAAAACACACAUAAUUUUUUUUCAAUUUUAGAUUUUCUAAAAAAAAAUAGCAUGUUCAUAUUCAGCCUCUUCCUCCUGGUACAAUAACAAAAGCUCUGACAGAUGAAUGAUUUUCUAAAAUAUAUAUUACAGAAAAAAAGAAGAAAAAAACAUAUUCUACUGCACCAACUUUUCUAUAAAAUCUCAACAAAUAGGGAUCUAAAAUAUAGAAAUAGUAAAGUUGAAUCACUAAAUUCAUAAUGCAAUGUAGAAACAUAUGCUAUAAAAUCAAUUAUGUUGCAACAAUCAGUAAGUGGUAUGAUUUGAUUAUUGGAAAAACAGUUUCAUAGAUUCUUGAAGCUAGAAAAUUAUAUAUACCAACAAUACCAAAUUAGAAAAGAUACUAUAAAAUUCUCAUUCAAGAAUUAAAUCUGCGGCAAUAAAAAUUCAACACCAGCAAUUACAAAUUUUCAUCAACCAAAUUAGAAGUUUCAGGGCGACGGUCUGGGAAAUGAGUGUAAUAGUUAUCAGAGGUGCGAGGAGUAGCCGACCGAUUUGGGUUUUGUUAAAUUUAUUGAAUUGUUUUGUCAGAGAACGUAAUUGCUAUCGCUCCAAGGUGCGGUCAUGUAGUUAUUGAGAUGGGAGAUAAAAAUUAUUGAAAAUCAUCAACAAAGUAACCAAAAAAACAAAAAACGAAGUCACCAUAUUCGUUGGCUUUUGGAAUCUGAUGAUAUUCAAACUUUGUUUUUGUAACAUCCACAGACUCUAAUAUAGUCAAUCCACAUGAUAGUAAAACUUAAAGACAAAUAAAGAUACUUACCAACAAGUUUGAUGGUGGCCGGCAAUUUGGUUGUCAUGGGGAUUUGGAGAGCCUGCCGUAAUAAUUUUUUUUUUUUAAUCCUAAUUUCUGGGCAUGAGAGGGCUCUCAGUAUGAGAGGGUAUUGGCCGUUAAUAUUUGCUUUCCGUAAAUAGAUUAACGGUAAUUAUUUUACUGUCG